AGUUCUGUAGUGUAGUGGUUAUCACAUCUGCUUUACAUGCAGAAGGUCCUGGGUUCAAUCCCCACUGGAACCA
This is a non-coding RNA of Protopterus annectens (West African lungfish), 73 nucleotides long. The record is from the annotation of a RefSeq genome assembly. Lineage: Eukaryota; Metazoa; Chordata; Ceratodontiformes; Protopteridae.